RNAcentral lists this ribosomal RNA (733 nucleotides) under Exiguobacterium aurantiacum. RNAcentral describes it as "bacterial SSU rRNA". It matches the Rfam family "Bacterial small subunit ribosomal RNA", at positions 61 to 766 of the family's 1533-position model. The record is from RNAcentral. Lineage: Bacteria; Bacillati; Bacillota; Bacilli; Caryophanales.
GUCGAGCGCAGGAAUCAUCCGAACCCUUCGGGGGGACGUUGAUGGAAUGAGCGGCGGACGGGUGAGUAACACGUAAAGAACCUGCCCUCAGGUCUGGGAUAACCACGAGAAAUCGGGGCUAAUACCGGAUGGGUCAUCGGACCGCAUGGUCCGAGGAUGAAAGGCGCUUCGGCGUCGCCUGGGGAUGGCUUUGCGGUGCAUUAGCUAGUUGGUGGGGUAAUGGCCCACCAAGGCGACGAUGCAUAGCCGACCUGAGAGGGUGAUCGGCCACACUGGGACUGAGACACGGCCCAGACUCCUACGGGAGGCAGCAGUAGGGAAUCUUCCACAAUGGACGAAAGUCUGAUGGAGCAACGCCGCGUGAACGAUGAAGGCCUUCGGGUCGUAAAGUUCUGUUGUAAGGGAAGAACAAGUGCCGCAGGCAAUGGCGGCACCUUGACGGUACCUUGCGAGAAAGCCACGGCUAACUACGUGCCAGCAGCCGCGGUAAUACGUAGGUGGCAAGCGUUGUCCGGAAUUAUUGGGCGUAAAGCGCGCGCAGGCGGCCUCUUAAGUCUGAUGUGAAAGCCCCCGGCUCAACCGGGGAGGGCCAUUGGAAACUGGGAGGCUUGAGUAUAGGAGAGAAGAGUGGAAUUCCACGUGUAGCGGUGAAAUGCGUAGAGAUGUGGAGGAACACCAGUGGCGAAAGCGACUCUUUGGCCUAUAACUGACGCUGAGGCGCGAAAGCGUGGGG